CCUACGGGUGGCAGCAGUGAGGAAUAUUGGUCAAUGGGCGCGAGCCUGACCCAGCCAAGUAGCGUGAAGGAUGACGGCCCUACGGGUUUUAAACUUCUUUUAUAACGGAAUAAAGUGAGGCACGUGUGCCUUUUUGUAUGUACUUUAUGAAUAAGGAUCGGCUAACUCCGUUCCAGCAGCCGCGGUAAUACGGUGGAUCCGAGCGUUAUCCGGAUUUAUUGGGUUUAAAGGGCGCGUAGGUGGGUUGUUAAGUCAGUUGUGAAAGUUUGCGGCUGAACCGGAAAAUUGCAAUUGAUACUGGGAGUCUUGAGUACAGUAGAGGUAGGCGGAAUUCGUGGUGUAGCGGUGAAAUGCGUAGAUAUCACGAAGAACUCCGAUUGCGAAGGCAGCUUACUAAACUUCCACUGACAUUGAUGCUCGAAAGUGUGGGUAUCAAACAGGAUUAGAUACCCCGGUAGUC
Molecule: ribosomal RNA, 460 nt
Filed under: uncultured bacterium
Lineage: Bacteria
Description: partial 16S ribosomal RNA
Rfam family: Bacterial small subunit ribosomal RNA
Source: RNAcentral